CAGCCUGCCCAGUGACAGAUUCAACGGCCGCGUACCCUAACCGUGCGAAGGUAGCAUAAUCACUUGUUCUUUAAAUGAGGACUAGUAUCAAUGGCAUCACGAGGAUCCUACUGUCUCCCCGCUCCAAUCAGUGAAACUGAUCUCUCCGUGAAGAAGCGGGGAUGCACAUAUAAGACGAGAAGACCCCAUGGAGCUUUAAACCCAACGGCAACUAUAUUUUAAUGCCCUCACAUUCACCCAGCAAAUGCUCGUUGGUUUUAGGUUGGGGUGACCAUGGAGUAAAAAACAACCUCCACGAAAAAAGGGGUAAUAACCCUUAUCAAAGAACCACGAUUCUAUGAAUUAGUAAACUAAUUUUUAAUGAUCCGAUUUUCGAUCAACGAACCAAGUUACCCUGGGGAUAACAGCGCAAUCCACCUCGAGAGCUCCUAUCGACAGGUGGGUUUACGACCUCGAUGUUGGAUCAGGGUUUCCCAGUGGUGCAGCAGCUACUAAAGGUUCGUUUGUUCAACGAUUAAAACCCU
Molecule: ribosomal RNA, 524 nt
Filed under: Boophis microtympanum
Lineage: Eukaryota; Metazoa; Chordata; Amphibia; Anura; Mantellidae
Description: partial 16S ribosomal RNA
Rfam family: Bacterial large subunit ribosomal RNA
Source: RNAcentral